This 215-nucleotide long non-coding RNA is filed under the name Nicotiana benthamiana. Its description in RNAcentral is "long non-coding RNA (NBEN_LNC028930)". Lineage: Eukaryota; Viridiplantae; Streptophyta; Magnoliopsida; Solanales; Solanaceae. The record is from RNAcentral.
AAGUUUGAGCUAUGCUCAAAUUUGGUUGGUAUGACAAUCUAGUUUCAAAAGAUUGUUUACAACCGAUGAUCUAAUGAUGAGGAGUUUAUUGAAGUGAAACUUCGUUUUUGUUACAAGAGUAAAUUAUGUCUCAAGGUGGAGGUUGUUGAUGCGAGACAAAAUUUACUACUCACUAUUCACGCGUUACUAUUCACAGUACUGUUCAUGUGAAGAAG